This 250-nucleotide ribosomal RNA is filed under the name Mortierella sp. RNAcentral describes it as "partial large subunit ribosomal RNA". Lineage: Eukaryota; Fungi; Mortierellomycota; Mortierellomycetes; Mortierellales; Mortierellaceae. The record is from RNAcentral.
UCUUUUGCUGGACAAAACUCCGAGAGAAGGUAGCAGCUUAGGCUGUGUUAUAGCUCUGGAGCGAUACAGUGAAGGGGACUGAGGUUUUCGCAGCGUGUGCUCUCGGGCAAGGCUGGAUGGGUGCUAUGGGAUCGUUCGGGGUACAAUGCCUGGCAUUUUGCUUCGUGUCUUUUCUAUACUCGCUCAACUCAGCUCUUCCACGCUUAGGAUGUUGACUUAAUGGUUUUAAACGACCCGUCUUGAAACACGG